AAGUCAGGUGUGAAAGCCUUCUGUUCAACGGAAGAAUUGCAUCUGAAACUGCGAGUCUUGAGUGUAGGAGGGGAGAAUGGAACUUCUGGUGGAGCGGUGAAAUGCGUAGAUAUCAGAAGGAACGCCGGCGGCGAAAGCGAUUCUCUGGCCUAUUACUGACACUCAGUGUGCGAAAGCUAGGGGAGCAAACGGGAUUAGAUACCCCGGUAGUCCUAGCUGUAAACGAUGGGCACUAAGUAGAGGGGAUUACCGAUGUUCUCUCUGCCGUAGCUAACGCAUUAAGUGCCCCGCCUGGGGAGUACGGCCGCAAGGCUAAAACUCAAAGGAAUUGACGGGGGCUCGCACGAGCGGUGGAGCAUGUGGCUUAAUUCGAUGCAACGCGAAAAACCUUACCGGGGCUUGACAUGGUAGAAGUAGGAACCUGAAAGGGUAACGAACGGUAUCCAGUCCGUAGCUAUUACAGGUGUUGCAUGGCUGUCGUCAGCUCGUGUCGUGAGACGUUGGGUUAAGUCCCCUAACGAGCGAAACCCCUGUUUUUAGUUGCCAGCGGGUUAUGCCGGGUACUCUAGAAAGACUGCCGUCGUCAAGACGGAGGAAGGUGGGGAUGACGUCAAGUCAUCAUGGCCCUUAUGCCCCGGGCUGCACACGUGCUACAAUGGUCGGUACAAACGGAAGCGAAG
RNAcentral lists this ribosomal RNA (680 nucleotides) under uncultured anaerobic ammonium-oxidizing bacterium. Its description in RNAcentral is "bacterial SSU rRNA". It matches the Rfam family "Bacterial small subunit ribosomal RNA", at positions 585 to 1254 of the family's 1533-position model. The record is from RNAcentral.